CAAAGUCAACAAUCAAGAGAAGACUUCACCAGAGUGAAUACAGAGGGUUCACCACAAGAUGUAAACCAUUGGUGAGCCUCAAAAACAGGAAGGCCAGAUUAGAGUUUGCCAAACAACAUCUCAAAAAAGCCUUCACAGUUCUGGAACAACAUCCAAUGGACAGAUGAGACCAAGAUCAACUUGUACCAGAGUGAUGGGAAGAGAAGAGUAUGGAG
Pelobates cultripes (western spadefoot toad) is the source of this 215-nucleotide non-coding RNA. NCBI's taxonomy places the organism in Eukaryota, Metazoa, Chordata, Amphibia, Anura, Pelobatidae. The record is from the annotation of a GenBank genome assembly.